CAUCCUCGGAACCUGAUAGAAAUAUCGGGGUGCCUCCGCAAGGAGGAGCCGAGAGACAGGUGCUGCAUGGCUGUCGUCAGCUCGUGUCGUGAGAUGUUCGGUUAAGUCCGGCAACGAGCGCAACCCCUGCUUCCAGUUGCCAUCAUUCAGUUGGGAACUCUGGAGGGACUGCUGGCGUCAAGCCGGAGGAAGGUGGGGACGACGUCAAGUCAUCAUGGCCUUUAUGGCUGGGGCUACACACGUACUACAAUGGCGUACACAAAGGGCAGCGAGACCGCAAGGUGGAGCAAAUCCCAAAAAAGACGCCUCAGUUCGGAUUGGAGUCUGCAACUCGACUCCAUGAAGUUGGAAUCGCUAGUAAUCGCGGAUCAGCACGCCGCGGUGAAUACGUUCCCGGGCCUUGUACACACCGCCCGUCACACCACGAAAGUUGGAUGGACCUGAAGUCGUUGAGCCAACCCGCAAGGGGGGCAGGCGCCAACGGUCUGUUCGAUGAUUGGGGUGAAGUCGUAACAAGGUAACC
This 523-nucleotide ribosomal RNA is filed under the name uncultured bacterium. RNAcentral describes it as "bacterial SSU rRNA". It matches the Rfam family "Bacterial small subunit ribosomal RNA", at positions 985 to 1501 of the family's 1533-position model. The record is from RNAcentral.